Molecule: ribosomal RNA, 494 nt
Filed under: uncultured bacterium
Lineage: Bacteria
Description: partial 16S ribosomal RNA
Rfam family: Bacterial small subunit ribosomal RNA
Source: RNAcentral
GAACGCUGGCGGCGUGCCUAAUACAUGCAAGUCGAGCGAACGGACGAGAAGCUUGCUUCUCUGAUGUUAGCGGCGGACGGGUGAGUAACACGUGGAUAACCUACCUAUAAGACUGGGAUAACUUCGGGAAACCGUAGCUAAUACCGGAUAAUAUUUUGAACCGCAUGGUUCAAAAGUGAAAGACGGUCUUGCUGUCACUUAUAGAUGGAUCCGCGCUGCAUUAGCUAGUUGGUAAGGUAACGGCUUACCAAGGCAACGAUGCAUAGCCGACCUGAGAGGGUGAUCGGCCACACUGGAACUGAGACACGGUCCAGACUCCUACGGGAGGCAGCAGUAGGGAAUCUUCCGCAAUGGGCGAAAGCCUGACGGAGCAACGCCGCGUGAGUGAUGAAGGUCUUCGGAUCGUAAAACUCUGUUAUUAGGGAAGAACAGAUGUGUAAGUAACUGUGCACAUCUUGACGGUACCUAAUCAGAAAGCCACGGCUAACUACGUG